This is a long non-coding RNA of Monopterus albus (swamp eel), 378 nucleotides long. RefSeq lists it as uncharacterized. The transcript is spliced from 2 exons. The record is from RefSeq and is a predicted model, not a curated record. NCBI's taxonomy places the organism in Eukaryota, Metazoa, Chordata, Actinopteri, Synbranchiformes, Synbranchidae.
CUUAUGACAAGUCAGCUGUUGGUGACAUCACAGAUGCUGGAUCAUAUGUCAGAAACCUUUGCUACAUGACUUAAAUCUCUUAUGGCUCAGCAGCAACAGAGGCCACUUGAGGAAGAAGUUAAUAAGGAUCCAGAAGACGCGUCUGAACCUUCUCUGAUGUCCCAAAGUGAAGAGGCUAAGAACAGGUAACUGGACUAGCUAGCUUACUGUAAAUAACUUAUACCAAAUAACUAACAGCGAGCUAUACGUUUCCUGCUCCAUGGACCCAGAGUACUUUGUGUAUGUAGGGUUAAUAGUAAUGAUGAUCUACUGACGUUAUGGGUUAAAAAAUCAUACUGUAGUUUUUAUAUAUAUUUGUUGCUUAGUUUUUUUUUUUUU